GGCCUAUACAAUCUUUGGUAAGGGACUAUUUUUACCAACUUCAGCCUUGCAGAUAUACCUGAAAAGCCAAAGAUACUCAUAAUCUUUUUAAGAGGGGAUUUUUAUCUACUAUUAAUUUUUCAUUUGGGGGAAAGUGUCACUUCAGAGGAGAUUGUUGCAUAGUCCUCUAAAUAAAGACACAAGCACAAGGACAAACAGAGGAGGACCUGAUUAAUGCGGACGGUGCUGUCGUGCUGAUACUCAAACAAAGUCCAUCGUGGGAUUCUGCUGCACUUCAUAUUAUCUACAAACUGUGCGUCUUUCCCGAGGAGACCUGAUUCGAGACUGAACGGAAGGGAACAGAGAAGACACGCGCCUGUAUCCACAUCAGCAUCAUCAUCAUCAUCAUCAUCAUCAUCAUCAUCACUUUGGUCUAGUGUACAAACAGCUCCCAAAAAUAAUAAACAGUUAAGGAUGGGUCUACCUUCACCUCUGAAGGUUCCCAAUAAACCCCAGGGCAGCAUCAACCUGGCUCUCCAGUUCCUGCUCUGCU
Nothobranchius furzeri (turquoise killifish) is the source of this 532-nucleotide long non-coding RNA. RefSeq lists it as uncharacterized. The record is from RefSeq and is a predicted model, not a curated record. NCBI's taxonomy places the organism in Eukaryota, Metazoa, Chordata, Actinopteri, Cyprinodontiformes, Nothobranchiidae.